This is a long non-coding RNA of Ictidomys tridecemlineatus (thirteen-lined ground squirrel), 1260 nucleotides long. The record is from Ensembl. NCBI's taxonomy places the organism in Eukaryota, Metazoa, Chordata, Mammalia, Rodentia, Sciuridae.
UUGCUUUUAAUGGUCAUGUUCAUUUAUAGUUCUUACUAAUUUAUUAUCAGAUUAAAAGGAAAGGAGGAACAGGUGAAUACCAUGAAGGUUCUUAUAGAAGAGAAGGAGAAAGAUCUAGCCAAUAGAGAGAAAUGGUUACAGGUGAGACUUUACAAACAAAAGUUAAAAAAUACCUUUUUUUUUAUAUUUGAAUAUCAGUUCACAUCUAUUCUUUUUAAGGAUCUGCAAGAAGAAAACGAAUCUUUGAAGACUUAUAUGCAGGAAGCAGCACAACAUAACUUGCAGAAGGCGUAUUCUACAUCACAAUUUGAAGAGCUUGAAAUUGUGUUGAAAGAGAAGGAAAAUGAAAUGAAGAGAAUAGAAACUGUGCUAAAAGAGAGGGAGAGCGAUCUUUCUAGCAAAACAAAGCUGUUACAGGAGGUACAAGAUGAAAACAAAUUGUUUCAAUCCCAGAUUGAGCAACUUAAGCAACAAAAUUACCAACAGGUAUCUUCUUUCCCCCCUCAUGAGGAAUUAUUGAAAGUAAUUUCAGACAGAGAGAAGGAAAUAACUGGUCUCCAGAAUGAGUUAGAUUCUUUGAAAGAUGCUGUUGAACACCAAAGGAAGAAAAAUAAUGACCUUCGGGAGAAAAACUGGGAAGCAAUGGAAGCAUUGGCAUCAACUGAAAAAAUGCUGCAGGACAAAGUGAACAAGACUUCCAAGGUUGUAAUGCUAACUCUUAGAAACAAUCCACUGAACAGAGAAAAUCUGCAGCUUAUCUUAAAAUCAGACUAAAGCAUUUAAUUUUACUGCAAUUUAAAUAUAAAAUCUUACCAUCCACAUUUAUCAUUUCUUGUCAUUUCUGCUUUUUUCGUAUACUCCUUGAGGCUUUAGUUUUGGGCAUGCUUAUUUGUUGGGAUGAUCUCUGUUGGAGCUUUUGCUGAAGAGUCUCAGAAGGCCUGUGCUAGGCACAUAGGUUUUUUUCAGAGAGUGUGCCUAUUGGGGGUAGUUAAGAGAACUUCAGUGAAAACCUCAAACCAAAGAAAUCUAACUGUUUUAGCAGACACAUACCUAACAUGUAUCUGUGAUAAAUAGCAAACAAGAUUUUGGGGGAAGGGAGCUACACCAGGAAGACUCUAAGUAAUGAUAAGUCUUAAGGAAUAUAGGAAAGAUAUCAGUUCUGAGUAUGUUAUUAAAGAUGAUUCUUUAGGAGAAGGGGACUUAAACUUUGAGGCAGGUGGAUAGUAAUGACACAUGAGUCAUGUUUAAAAUGGAAUGUUA